RNAcentral lists this transfer RNA (72 nucleotides) under Chloroflexota bacterium. RNAcentral's name for it is "Chloroflexi bacterium (oil production facility metagenome) tRNA-Met". It matches the Rfam family "tRNA". Rfam says of the family: Transfer RNA (tRNA) molecules are approximately 80 nucleotides in length. RNAcentral also lists the same sequence under 3 other names. Lineage: Bacteria; Bacillati; Chloroflexota. The record is from RNAcentral.
CGCGGGGUGGAGCAGUGGCAGCUCGUUGGGCUCAUAACCCAAAGGUCACAGGUUCGAGUCCUGUCCCCGCUA